GACGAACGCUGGCGGCGUGCUUAACACAUGCAAGUCGAACGGAAAGGCCCUGCUUUUGUGGGGUGCUCGAGUGGCGAACGGGUGAGUAACACGUGAGUAACCUGCCCUUGACUUUGGGAUAACUUCAGGAAACUGGGGCUAAUACCGGAUAGGAGCUCCUGCUGCAUGGUGGGGGUUGGAAAGUUUCGGCGGUUGGGGAUGGACUCGCGGCUUAUCAGCUUGUUGGUGGGGUAGUGGCCUACCAAGGCUUUGACGGGUAGCCGGCCUGAGAGGGUGACCGGCCACAUUGGGCCUGAGAUACGGCCCAGACUCCUACGGGAGGCAGCAGGGGGGAAUAUUGCACAAUGGGCGGAAGCCUGAUGCAGCAACGCCGCGUGCGGGAUGACGGCCUUCGGGUUGUAAACCGCUUUCGCCUGUGACGAAGCGUGAGUGACGGUAAUGGGUAAAGAAGCACCGGCUAACUACGUG
This 468-nucleotide ribosomal RNA is filed under the name uncultured bacterium. RNAcentral's name for it is "partial 16S ribosomal RNA". It matches the Rfam family "Bacterial small subunit ribosomal RNA", at positions 28 to 507 of the family's 1533-position model. The record is from RNAcentral.